Lynx canadensis (Canada lynx) is the source of this 857-nucleotide RNA transcript. It is a transcript of the gene named PIGB opposite strand 1, with no coding region annotated. The transcript is spliced from 5 exons. Lineage: Eukaryota; Metazoa; Chordata; Mammalia; Carnivora; Felidae. The record is from RefSeq and is a predicted model, not a curated record.
AAAAACUAAGAACAAUUAUAAGCAAACAUAUAUUGAAUGGGAAGUGGAAAAGCUCAGUAUUACCUUCUUCUAUGGAAAACAGCAAGUCAACAUACUGCAAAAAUCACAUCAAAAGGCUCCAAAAACCCUUCAGGAUUUGGAUUACCUUUGGAAUUCUGGGCCACUUCCCUAACAGAAAAUGGGGAAGUCCCAAACUUCUGAGUCUAACCUGAUGACAGCUUAAAGGAAAAUGAGUUUAGAGAAUCUUUGGCACCAUUAGUUCUUCUUUUGUACCCUCUCUUGGCAAAUGACCCCAGAAAUUCAUGAUCUGGAAAGAAACUACAAAGGAUAUUUGAAACCAUGUGAUGUGCAACUUCAAGAGACUGCCAAUAUUCAUCUGGAACAAAACUUGUCUGGACUAAAAACAGUUACAUAUUCGUAAUGCUAUAGUAAACAAGACCAGAUAAAUGUUUUCACCAAGAAGAUCUGAAAAACAAAACAAAACAGCUUCAUCUUCUCGUGGGAGCGGUUCUGCAGACCGCGGAAAAAGAGUCGGCCGUUGCCACCUUCUUGCUCCAUCCUGCACCUAUUUCGAUAUCUACUGAGGAUCCCCUGACACCUCAGUCCCUCGGAAGAAGGACCCUGAAGUAACGCGCGUUGCUCUUCCGCUCAUUAAGUUUGGCCACUGCAGCAGCCGUAGCUCGCAGGCGCGGAGAUACCUGGGAAAAGGCAGCCUCCUCACGCCGGCCUGCGAAUGCCUUCGGAAUAUUGCACGUUUGUCUGGCGCGGAUCUGAAGAUCUUUCCUGGAUGUGGACUAUAAUUUUUCAAAACCACUGGUGGCAGAAGCACUGAAUACAUUUGUUGAAAAAAUGUUUGG